Molecule: ribosomal RNA, 254 nt
Filed under: Clostridioides difficile
Lineage: Bacteria; Bacillati; Bacillota; Clostridia; Peptostreptococcales; Peptostreptococcaceae
Description: partial 23S ribosomal RNA
Rfam family: Bacterial large subunit ribosomal RNA
Source: RNAcentral
AUCCGGUGGUUCUGCGUGGAAGGGCCAUCGCUCAACGGAUAAAAGCUACCCUGGGGAUAACAGGCUUAUCUCCCCAAAGAGUCCACAUCGACGGGGAGGUUUGGCACCUCGAUGUCGGCUCAUCACAUCCUGGGGCUGUAGUAGGUCCCAAGGGUUGGGCUGUUCGCCCAUUAAAGUGGUACGCGAGCUGGGUUCAGAACGUCGUGAGACAGUUCGGUCCCUAUCCGUCGCAGGCGUAGGAAAUUUGAGAAGAC